RNAcentral lists this ribosomal RNA (254 nucleotides) under uncultured bacterium. Its description in RNAcentral is "partial 16S ribosomal RNA". It matches the Rfam family "Bacterial small subunit ribosomal RNA", at positions 524 to 776 of the family's 1533-position model. The record is from RNAcentral.
UACGUAGGGUGCGAGCGUUGUCCGGAAUUAUUGGGCGUAAAGAGCUCGUAGGCGGUGUGUCGCGUCGGUCGUGAAAACUUGGGGCUUAACCCUGAGCUUGCGGUCGAUACGGGCAUCACUGGAGUUCGGCAGGGGAGACUGGAAUUCCUGGUGUAGCGGUGAAAUGCGCAGAUAUCAGGAGGAGCACCGGUGGCGAAGGCGGGUCUCUGGGCCGAUACUGACGCUGAGGAGCGAAAGCGUGGGGAGCGAACAGG